RNAcentral lists this ribosomal RNA (1098 nucleotides) under Escherichia sp. RNAcentral's name for it is "bacterial SSU rRNA". It matches the Rfam family "Bacterial small subunit ribosomal RNA", at positions 60 to 1147 of the family's 1533-position model. Lineage: Bacteria; Pseudomonadati; Pseudomonadota; Gammaproteobacteria; Enterobacterales; Enterobacteriaceae. The record is from RNAcentral.
AGUCGAACGGUAACAGGAAAGCAGCUUGCUGCUUUGCUGACGAGUGGCGGACGGGUGAGUAAUGUCUGGGAAACUGCCUGAUGGAGGGGGAUAACUACUGGAAACGGUAGCUAAUACCGCAUAACGUCGCAAGACCAAAGAGGGGGACCUUCGGGCCUCUUGCCAUCGGAUGUGCCCAGAUGGGAUUAGCUUGUUGGUGGGGUAACGGCUCACCAAGGCGACGAUCCCUAGCUGGUCUGAGAGGAUGACCAGCCACACUGGAACUGAGACACGGUCCAGACUCCUACGGGAGGCAGCAGUGGGGAAUAUUGCACAAUGGGCGCAAGCCUGAUGCAGCCAUGCCGCGUGUAUGAAGAAGGCCUUCGGGUUGUAAAGUACUUUCAGCGGGGAGGAAGGGAGUAAAGUUAAUACCUUUGCUCAUUGACGUUACCCGCAGAAGAAGCACCGGCUAACUCCGUGCCAGCAGCCGCGGUAAUACGGAGGGUGCAAGCGUUAAUCGGAAUUACUGGGCGUAAAGCGCACGCAGGCGGUUUGUUAAGUCAGAUGUGAAAUCCCCGGGCUCAACCUGGGAACUGCAUCUGAUACUGGCAAGCUUGAGUCUCGUAGAGGGGGGUAGAAUUCCAGGUGUAGCGGUGAAAUGCGUAGAGAUCUGGAGGAAUACCGGUGGCGAAGGCGGCCCCCUGGACGAAGACUGACGCUCAGGUGCGAAAGCGUGGGGAGCAAACAGGAUUAGAUACCCUGGUAGUCCACGCCGUAAACGAUGUCGACUUGGAGGUUGUGCCCUUGAGGCGUGGCUUCCGGAGCUAACGCGUUAAGUCGACCGCCUGGGGAGUACGGCCGCAAGGUUAAAACUCAAAUGAAUUGACGGGGGCCCGCACAAGCGGUGGAGCAUGUGGUUUAAUUCGAUGCAACGCGAAGAACCUUACCUGGUCUUGACAUCCACAGAACUUUCCAGAGAUGGAUUGGUGCCUUCGGGAACUGUGAGACAGGUGCUGCAUGGCUGUCGUCAGCUCGUGUUGUGAAAUGUUGGGUUAAGUCCCGCAACGAGCGCAACCCUUAUCCUUUGUUGCCAGCGGUCCGGCCGGGAACUCAAAGGAG